Molecule: ribosomal RNA, 497 nt
Filed under: uncultured bacterium
Lineage: Bacteria
Description: partial 16S ribosomal RNA
Rfam family: Bacterial small subunit ribosomal RNA
Source: RNAcentral
GAUGAACGCUGGCGGCGUGCCUAAUACAUGCAAGUCGAGCGAACAGAUGAGGAGCUUGCUCCUCUGACGUUAGCGGCGGACGGGUGAGUAACACGUGGAUAACCUACCUAUAAGACUGGGAUAACUUCGGGAAACCGGAGCUAAUACCGGAUAAUAUAUUGAACCGCAUGGUUCAAUAGUGAAAGACGGUUUUGCUGUCACUUAUAGAUGGAUCCGCGCCGCAUUAGCUAGUUGGUAAGGUAACGGCUUACCAAGGCAACGAUGCGUAGCCGACCUGAGAGGGUGAUCGGCCACACUGGAACUGGGACACGGUCCAAAACCCUACGGGAGGCCGCAGUAGGGAAUCUUCCGCAAUGGGCGAAAGCCUGACGGAGCAACGCCGCGUGAGUGAUGAAGGUCUUCCGAUCGUAAAACUCUGUUAUUAGGGAAGAACAAAUGUGUAAGUAACUAUGCACGUCUUGACGGUACCUAAUCAGAAAGCCACGGCUAACUACGUG